Molecule: ribosomal RNA, 503 nt
Filed under: uncultured bacterium
Lineage: Bacteria
Description: partial 16S ribosomal RNA
Rfam family: Bacterial small subunit ribosomal RNA
Source: RNAcentral
AUUGAACGCUGGCGGCAGGCUUAACACAUGCAAGUCGAGCGGGGUGAUGGUGCUUGCACUAUCACUUAGCGGCGGACGGGUGAGUAAUGCUUAGGAAUCUGCCUAUUAGUGGGGGACAACAUCUCGAAAGGGAUGCUAAUACCGCAUACGUCCUACGGGAGAAAGCAGGGGAUCACUUGUGACCUUGCGCUAAUAGAUGAGCCUAAGUCGGAUUAGCUAGUUGGUGGGGUAAAGGCCUACCAAGGCGACGAUCUGUAGCGGGUCUGAGAGGAUGAUCCGACACAGUGGGAACGAGACACGGCCCAGAAUCCUACGGGAGGCAGCAGUGGGGAAUAUUGGACAAUGGGGGGAACCCUGAUCCAGCCAUGCCGCGUGUGUGAAGAAGGCCUUAUGGUUGUAAAGCACUUUAAGCGAGGAGGAGGCUCUUUUGGUUAAUACCCAAGAUGAGUGGACGUUACUCGCAGAAUAAGCACCGGCUAACUCUGUGCCAGCAGCCGCCGUAA